GCCACAACAGAGCUCAGUCAGUACAGAAUGAGAGUCUCAAUCUCAGGGUUGUGGGUUUGAGCCCCACGUUGGGUG
This is a non-coding RNA of Podarcis lilfordi (Lilford's wall lizard), 75 nucleotides long. The record is from the annotation of a GenBank genome assembly. Lineage: Eukaryota; Metazoa; Chordata; Lepidosauria; Squamata; Lacertidae.